RNAcentral lists this ribosomal RNA (468 nucleotides) under uncultured bacterium. RNAcentral's name for it is "bacterial SSU rRNA". It matches the Rfam family "Bacterial small subunit ribosomal RNA", at positions 335 to 795 of the family's 1533-position model. The record is from RNAcentral.
ACUCCUACGGGAGGCAGCAGUGGGGAAUAUUGGACAAUGGGCGCAAGCCUGAUCCAGCCAUGCCGCGUGCGGGAAGAAGGCCUUCGGGUUGUAAACCGCUUUUAGCCGGGAAGAAAAGGCAGGGGCUAACACUCUCUGUUCUUGACGGUACCGGCGGAAUAAGCACCGGCUAACUACGUGCCAGCAGCCGCGGUAAUACGUAGGGUGCGAGCGUUAAUCGGAAUUACUGGGCGUAAAGCGUGCGCAGGCGGUUCGUUAAGUCUGAUGUGAAAGCCCCGGGCUCAACCUGGGAAUGGCAUUGGAUACUGGCGGGCUUGAGUGUGGCAGAGGGGGGUGGAAUUCCGCGUGUAGCAGUGAAAUGCGUAGAGAUGCGGAGGAACACCGAUGGCGAAGGCAGCCCCCUGGGCUGACACUGACGCUCAGGCACGAAAGCGUGGGGAGCAAACAGGAUUAGAUACCCUGGUAGUC